GACAGAGGCCCCAAGCGUUAGGCGGAAUCACUGGGCUUAAAGCGUGUGUAGGCGGAUCGUUAAGUGUCUUGUGAAAUCCCACGGCUCACCCGUGGAACUGCUGGGCAUACUGGCGAUCUUGGGCCAACUAGGGGCAGCCGGAACAAGCGGUGGAGCGGUGAAAUGCGUAGAUAUCGCUUGGAACGCCGAAGGUGAAAACAGGCUGCUGGGGUUGCGCCGACGCUGAGACACGAAGGCCAGGGGAGCAAACGGG
This 253-nucleotide ribosomal RNA is filed under the name uncultured bacterium. RNAcentral describes it as "partial 16S ribosomal RNA". It matches the Rfam family "Bacterial small subunit ribosomal RNA", at positions 524 to 776 of the family's 1533-position model. The record is from RNAcentral.